GCGGGCGCGUCGCGUGUGGGAGCGGCGUGGUGCCGCAGCACCAGCCGCUGCGUGCGGAUGACGCACGGCGGCAGACGUGAUCCGCACCGCUGCCUCCGAGCGCGACGCCUGGCGACGACUCAACGCCGCCGGAGACGCGUAGGCUGCCGUUUCACGAGCACGAUGGAGAAGUGACGGAACCGCAGCGUCGCCCUGAUCAUCUGCUUCCCGGAGAGGAGACACGGCGGUGCGUCCUGGAGAUGGACCGGAGCGCUGCGGAACCCGCGGAUGACGGAGCCGCGACGAAGGCGGCGGACUCCGGCCUCUGUCUGCAGCUCGACUCGGAGGACACCGAUUCCACUCAGAGGGUUCAGACCCCAGAGAUGCCGUCACCUUUCGGAGCGGGUCCGGCCCAUGAGAAGAAGAUUGGCCACAGGAGGGUGGACGCCUCAGGGGAGACCACCUACAAGAAGACCACCUCCUCCGCCUUGAAAGGGGCCAUCCAACUGGGCAUCGGCUACACCGUGGGCAACCUCAGCUCCAAGCCCGAGCGAGAUGUUCUGAUGCAGGACUUCUACGUGGUGGAAAGCAUCUUCUUCCCCAGCGAGGGCAGCAACCUCACCCCGGCCCACCACUACCCAGACUUCAGGUUUAAAACCUACGCCCCCGUGGCCUUCCGUUAUUUCCGAGAGCUGUUCGGGAUCCGACCGGACGACUAUCUGUACUCGCUGUGCAACGAGCCGCUGAUCGAGCUGACCAAUCCCGGCGCCAGCGGCUCCAUAUUCUACGUGACGUGCGACGAUGAGUUCAUCAUCAAAACGGUGCAGCAUAAAGAGGCCGAGUUUCUGCAGAAGCUGCUUCCUGGAUACUACAUGAACUUGAACCAGAACCCCCGGACUCUGCUGCCCAAGUUCUUUGGCCUCUACUGUGUCCAGUGUGGCGGCAAGAACAUCCGAGUCAUAGUGAUGAACAACAUCUUGCCCCGCUCCGUACGCAUGCACCUCAAAUUCGACCUGAAGGGCUCCACGUAUAAGCGGCAGGCCUCCAAAAAGGAGAAGGAGAAGUCCAGACCCACCUUCAAAGACCUGGACUUUCUGACCGACAUCCCCGACGGCCUCAUACUGGACCAGGACACGUACGGCGCUCUGGUCAAAACUCUGCUCCGAGACUGUCGGGUUCUGGAGAGCUUUAAGAUCAUGGACUACAGUUUGCUGCUGGGGGUCCACAACAAGACCCAAGCGGAGCGGGAGCGUCAGUGUCAGGGCUCGGCUGCAGCGGGCGGCGGUGGCAGCGGCGGCGACGAGAAGAGGCCCGCGGCCCAAAGGGCGCUGUACUCCACAGCCAUGGAGUCCAUUCAGGGGGACUCCAGGUGCCGAGACACGCUGGACCACGAUGACACGAUGGGGGCGAUUCCCGCCGUCAGCGGCAAAGGAGAGCGCCUCCUGCUGUUCAUCGGGAUCAUUGACAUUCUGCAGUCGUACAGACUGAUUAAGAAACUGGAGCACUCCUGGAAGUCCCUGAUCCACGACGGGGACACCGUUUCCGUCCACAAACCCGACUUUUACGCUGAGAGGUUUUACAAAUUCUGCAGCGGCAUUGUCUUCAAGAAGAGCUCCUCGCUGCGCUCCUCUCCGUCCAAGCGAGGCAGGGGGACUCUCACCAAAUCCGGUGGCGGCACCGGUUCGUCCGGGCGCCGGGCGUCGCUCGACGAUGAGAGGCAGGAGAACCUGGAACACCUGGAGAACCUGGAGAACCUACGCGGAGCUUCCAUAUUCCCCAUGCUGGACGGCGGCGGUCGAGAGCCGCCGUCCUUUGAAGACGCCACCACCGCCUCCAUCGCCACCACGCUCUCCUCCAACAACUCCCUCCCCACCACCCCCUUCGACACGCCGGAGCACCCGCGCUGCAGGCGGCAGAUGCUGUCCCCACGCGUGGCCAGGUCACGCCAGGAGAUCGUGGAGGUGCACGAGGAGAAGCAGGACACCAUAACGGUGGAGGUGGAGCUCAGUGAGAUCCCAAAGAGCACGGAGCUCACGGUGAUGGAGCUGUCAGCGGAGCCCCGCCGGCCCGGCUUCCCCCCCUCUACGAGCCCGUCCGCCACCCUUCCUCCCUCCUCCUCCAUCUGUCCCUCCACCCAGCCGCUCACCUCGCCCUCGGUUGCCCACACGCUGCCCGUUUUCUCUCCAGUCCCCCGUUCCUCCGUCCCGUCCGCGCUUCCUGCCUCGGGCCUCGGCGCCUCGGCCCCGCCCCCCGGCUCCGCCUUCACCCCCAUCCGCCCCACCUCCCCUGGCUCCUCUGCCCAGAGCUCCCCCCACCACCUGCCCUCCACGCCCCCCUCCUCCGCCCCUCCGAGCCCCCGGGUGCCUCGGGGGGAGGCGCGUUCGCCGUGCGGCCAGCUGCCCGGGUCCGGAAGCCACAACUCGCUGGACGGAGAAGUCCAGGUGUCCGACAUCUACUUUUAUGCAGAUGGCAGAUACUGGGUGUACUCUCCAGUUCUUGGUCGCCGAAAGCUAAAUUCUAGCUCAAGCUACAACGUAAGUCACUGCCAAAGUAGACGGAGUCACUGUAGUAGACGGAGUCACUGCUGGUGUGAGGAGAUGUUCCCACCUUCCACUGCAUCAUCAGAAACCAACGGGCCUAUGGCUCCUCAGAAGCAGGACGUGUAUUUGAGUUUAGAGCAGCUUCUGACGGCCCAUCAUGAGCUCGUGCUCAGGGCUCAGGAUGUUGGUUUCUGCUGUUACUUUACUGCAGCUGAUGUCUUUGUGCUUUUAGUGGCCCCUCAGGCUUCUGCCUCUAGGUUCCAGCACAUAGAAGCUGAACACAGCUCUGUCAUAAGUCCAUCCUGUUUCUAGUCCCAUCACACCACUAAGCGCAUUAAUAACAAAACUACAGAUGCAGUAUUACCAUAGGUAUUAGGGGAUCUUUCUCCCAGCAUGCAACACUGUGGUGAUGCCUGUAAAUCACAGCCUUUUUAACUCUCCUCUUUCUCUGGUCUCCUCGCCACUACUGCCCCCUGCUGGCUGUGUUUGGCAACUGCAGACUCAGGAGGACCGGAGCUGGGUGUACUCUCCUCUGCACUACAGCUCUGAGCCCAGAAGGGGCUCGGAGGGGGGGAGCGACACAUAACCCGGACGAGAGAGAGCGCUGCGAUGGGUGAUGCCAGAGACUUCCUGCCACCGACAGAAGCUUUGCAACGUGCUGCAUGUUUGAGCUCGUGUUGCCAGUUGUGACAAAUGUCUGAAGUGUAGAGGGAGGCAAACACACACGCAAAAGAAACAAUCAUCACGAUGUGAUGCAAAAAUAGCUCUGAGAAAGGGAUCAUUCUCUGGACAAUCGGACUCAUACGAAGCCAAGCGAUGACAGGGUCCAUUGAGUGGUUCUGGUGUCACGCUGCUGCUCCGUGCCAGCUCUGGCUAUGCAAUAUAAUGAGUCAAUCAGCUGAGUUUAAGAUUAAUUUCCUAGAAGGACGUUAACGUUGUGCGUCAUCUAUGUGACUGAUCAUCUCGUUUUGUUACGUUACCACCACCUGAAACGCUGUGUUUCCUGUUUGACCCCGUGAUGUUUGUCGAUCCGCCCAGGAACCAGUGAGCCGAUGUUCAAAAAUGCCUUAGACACACUCAUUUUCAUAACUGUCUUUUGAUUUUUCUUCUUAAAAACUAAAAGUUCUAAUCAUACAGAAUAUUUUUUUUGAGUAAAUAUCAAGACCUUCAGAGUUUUUAACAGUACAGCAGCCAUUCAUUUUCACGUUCAUACUAUUUAUUUAACAGUGAUGAGGCAGUAAUGUCAAACUGAAUCCUAUUCAAACACAUGCAUGUAGGCCUGUGGUUAUCUGUGUGUUAGUUUGCAUGUAUAUAGUGGAAUCUACGACCAGGACACAUGGAAGACGCUUCUGUCCCACCUGUCAAACUGUUUCUAUUGUUGCUAUAAAUCACUACAGUCAGAAUCAGCUGGAAGCAUGUUCGCAGCAUGAGAAAUAAAAAAGUGAGGAAAUACUGAUUUUCCAUAUCUUUGAUGACACUUACCUUGAAAUGAAACAAAAUGAAAUAUAUAUUUUUUAAUAUAUACAUAUAUAUGUAAGAAACUUCUUUUUCCAGACAUUGUGACUGCUCAUAACAAUCUCUCACUGUGGCAAUAAGCACUAACGUGUUACUGUAGCCUGUUCUCUGCUUCUGCUGAAGGCAGCCUGCCCGUCUGUUGGCAUCGGUCUUUUAGCUGAUCACUGUGUUCAAACAAAUAAAGAUUCUAUUACUUAAAA
This is an RNA transcript of Betta splendens (Siamese fighting fish), 4234 nucleotides long. It is a transcript of the gene named phosphatidylinositol 4-phosphate 5-kinase type-1 gamma-like, with no coding region annotated. Lineage: Eukaryota; Metazoa; Chordata; Actinopteri; Anabantiformes; Osphronemidae. The transcript has 17 exons. The record is from RefSeq and is a predicted model, not a curated record.